GACGAACCGUACGAACGUUAUUCGGGAUCACUGGGCUUAAAGGGUGCGUAGGCGGUGCGGAAAGUUGGGUGUGAAAUCCCUCGGCUCAACCGAGGAAUGGCGCCCAAAACUGCCGUGCUCGAGGGAGACAGAGGUGAGUGGAACUUAGGGUGGAGCGGUGAAAUGCGUUGAUAUCCUAAGGAACACCAGUGGCGAAAGCGACUCACUGGGUCUCUUCUGACGCUGAGGCACAAAAGCUAGGGUAGCGAACAGG
This 253-nucleotide unclassified non-coding RNA is filed under the name uncultured Pirellulaceae bacterium. Its description in RNAcentral is "contains 16S-23S intergenic spacer region". It matches the Rfam family "Bacterial small subunit ribosomal RNA", at positions 524 to 776 of the family's 1533-position model. The record is from RNAcentral. Lineage: Bacteria; Pseudomonadati; Planctomycetota; Planctomycetia; Pirellulales; Pirellulaceae.